This 73-nucleotide transfer RNA is filed under the name Exaiptasia diaphana. RNAcentral describes it as "tRNA-Met". It matches the Rfam family "tRNA". From Rfam's summary of the family: Transfer RNA (tRNA) molecules are approximately 80 nucleotides in length. Their secondary structure includes four short double-helical elements and three loops (D, anti-codon, and T loops). The record is from Rfam by way of RNAcentral. Lineage: Eukaryota; Metazoa; Cnidaria; Anthozoa; Actiniaria; Aiptasiidae.
GCCUCGUUAGCGCAGUAGGCAGCGCGUCAGUCUCAUAAUCUGAAGGCCGUGAGUUCAAUCCUCACACGGGGCA